UGCCAGCAGCCGCGGUAAUACGGAGGGUGCAAGCGUUAUCCGGAAUCAUUGGGUUUAAAGGGUCCGUAGGCGGAUUGAUAAGUCAGAGGUGAAAUCCCAUAGCUCAACUAUGGAACUGCCUUUGAUACUGUUAGUCUUGAGUUACUUGGAAGUAGAUAGAAUGUGUAGUGUAGCGGUGAAAUGCAUAGAUAUUACACAGAAUACCGAUUGCGAAGGCAGUCUACUACGAGUACACUGACGCUGAUGGACGAAAGCGUGGGGAGCGAACAGGAUUAGAAA
This 279-nucleotide ribosomal RNA is filed under the name uncultured bacterium. RNAcentral's name for it is "partial 16S ribosomal RNA". It matches the Rfam family "Bacterial small subunit ribosomal RNA", at positions 506 to 784 of the family's 1533-position model. The record is from RNAcentral.